UACGUAGGGGCCGAGCGUUGUCCGGAUUCAUUGGGCGUAAAGAGCUCGUAGGCGGUUCAGUCAGUCGGGUGUGAAAUCUCCGGGCUCAACUCGGAGGGGCCACCCGAUACUGCUGUGACUUGAGUCCGGUAGGGGAGUGGGGAAUUCCUGGUGUAGCGGUGAAAUGCGCAGAUAUCAGGAGGAACACCGGUGGCGAAGGCGCCACUCUGGGCCGGUACUGACGCUGAGGAGCGAAAGCGUGGGGAGCAAACAGG
RNAcentral lists this ribosomal RNA (254 nucleotides) under uncultured bacterium. RNAcentral's name for it is "partial 16S ribosomal RNA". It matches the Rfam family "Bacterial small subunit ribosomal RNA", at positions 524 to 776 of the family's 1533-position model. The record is from RNAcentral.